UAACCAAAGUGGUUGAGGUCUCUUCCUUU
Molecule: non-coding RNA, 29 nt
Filed under: Rattus norvegicus (Norway rat)
Lineage: Eukaryota; Metazoa; Chordata; Mammalia; Rodentia; Muridae
Source: RNAcentral